UGAAGUACCCUUAAUGGGUGUUAUGGAGUUCCAAUGGUCCGUCACAAAGGACGCCAAGAAGAUUAUUAUAUCCAUCGGUUUAGCGUUCGGUUCACCUGAUGACGGAGAACGUUGGUCCUGCGGCGGCUAGGGUUCUGCUGCGAACCCGAUAAUGGUGGUGAUCAGAGGUUGUCGGGUAUGCGCGAUGCUCUUCUCCUAUUUCUUUGAUUUUUUGGUUUGGUUUGUUGCGAAUGUUGGCUUUUCGCCUCAGUCAAUAGAGCAUCAGGCGGCUUAUGGGCCACAACCUUGGCGGUGCAAGCGUUCAGCAACUGCACCAACUAGAGAAACAACUAACUGAUGGCUUAGUUUUAAUCAAAGAAAAUAAGGUUUUGAUCUAUCUUUAAAUUAAUGGGAAUUUAAUAAAUUUUUAGUUUGUGAAUCUUGUGUUCAUGAUGCUAUGCUGUUUGAGGAGAUUGAACAUUCAAAUCGCAAAGGAACGAGAACUUGCUUAUGAAACGAUGUUCUUCAAGGAGAGAUGGAAAACUUAAAGUGCUUCAUACAGUUGACUCGACAACCUGGUCAACUUGGUUUCCUAGAAUACACUCAUGUUGUUGUUCCAAUAGCAGUGCUGCCCACUCGAAGCAUGACCGGGUUUUGCCGGAUACCGUAUGCUACUAUGGAUCCGAUGACACCGAUUCAGAAACAACACUUCAGUUGAGUUAUGCAAAACUGGAAGUGGGUCAAAACAAGACUUGGUCAAAACUGGCAAACUCGAAUUAAAAAUUUAACUGAUUAUUAUUCAAAAUGAAGAUCAGGAGGCAAAAAGAGAGGAGGAUGAGAGGUGGUCUAAUAAUUCAUCUAAAGUGACCAAAAUACCCAUACUUUAUGGUUUUGAAAUCGAAUUGUAUAACUUAUCACAGCAAAGCAAAGCAAACAAAUACUAUCACUUUCAUUCUAAAUUCCUAAACCAAACACACCCUUAUAUCAUAAAGUGGUCUUAGAAUAUAUGCAGAAAACAACAUAAAACAUCAUGGACUAUAUUUAUGGGUGUAUCUUGACCCAGACAUUUAGUAUAUAUAUCGGAUUUGUUUUGGAGCCCAAAGGACCACAACAUCUAUUAGAAUAAAUAAUCAACUCGAAUCCUGUAUCAGGGAAGAAUCUUUUGUCACUUAAAAUCUUGCUACCAUUGUAACAGUUCUACCUGCUUCAGAAUGUGGAACUCUUUCCAAAUGUGCCAUUGUUUCUUGAAAGCGUCUCUUUUAUGCAUAUUCUUCUAACAAAUUCAAUUGAACAUGUUUUGCAGUCUGAAGUGUCAGUCCUAUUCCCGAGCCUACAUCGACUUUAAACGACCAGAGGAUGUUAUCGAGUUUGCAGAGUUCUUUGACGGCCAUGUGUUUGAUAAUGAGAAGGGUAAUACCAACCAUCUACAUUUAAGGGGUCAAAUGUCAUUACUGGUGGUAGGGUUUUUUUUCACUAUUUUGAACAUUUUGGCCAAGCUCCGCCGCUGCAUAUGUUGGUGAGGCUCUCUCUAGAUUGGAUGUUUUCAUAACACGUCCCGAUGCAUUACACCCGGAUAAUGUAAAGUAAUGGCUAAUGACAAUGCUAUUUUGAAGGGAAAACUGGGCGACUCAAUUGAAUCCGAGCUUCGUUUUAUCAUACCUCUGAGAACUGCCUGUAUUUUGUUGGAAAAUGACCUCUUUGUUGGAAAAUGCCAGUAGAUAUUAUAUGUUUGUGAACAUAAUCCCUGCAAACAUCACGAAUCUGAAGAUCAAACAUCAAUACGAAGAUCAAACAUCAAUCGGAAGAUCAAACAUCAAUCGGAAGCGGACCGGCAGUGGUGGUCGACGACGGCGAUGGCGGACCGCAGUGGUUGGGUUCGACGACGGCGGGUGGUUGGGUUAGACGAUGGCGGCGGUUGGGAACCAUGAGAUUUUACUGUCGGGUGGUUGUGUUCGACGACGGCGGUGGCGAACCGGCAGUGGUGGUGCCGGAAUCGGAGAAGAAGAUGAUACAGAGAUGUAAGGAUUAUUGAAUGGUGUUAUUUUUUA
Long non-coding RNA from Helianthus annuus (common sunflower), 2027 nucleotides. RefSeq lists it as uncharacterized. The transcript is spliced from 6 exons. Lineage: Eukaryota; Viridiplantae; Streptophyta; Magnoliopsida; Asterales; Asteraceae. The record is from RefSeq and is a predicted model, not a curated record.